RNAcentral lists this ribosomal RNA (440 nucleotides) under uncultured bacterium. Its description in RNAcentral is "partial 16S ribosomal RNA". It matches the Rfam family "Bacterial small subunit ribosomal RNA", at positions 338 to 795 of the family's 1533-position model. The record is from RNAcentral.
CCUACGGGUGGCAGCAGUGGGGAAUAUUGCACAAUGGGGGGAACCCUGAUGCAGCGACGCCGCGUGGGUGAGGAAGUACUUCGGUAUGUAAAGCCCUAUCAGCAGGGAAGAAAAUGACGGUGCCUGACUAAGAAGCCCCGGCUAACUACGUGCCAGCAGCCGCGGUAAUACGCGGGGGGCAAGCGUUAGCCGGAGUUACGGGGUUGAAAGGGAGCGUAGGCGGCGUGCCAAGUCUGGUGUGAAAGGCGGGGGCUCAACCCCAAGACUGCAUUGGAAACUGGCAUGAUGGAGUGCCGGAGGGGAGAGCGGAAUUCCUAGUGUAGCGGUGGAAUGCGUAGAUAUUAGGAGGAACACCGGUGGCGAAGGCGGCUUGCUGGACGGUAACUGACGUUGAGGCUCGAAAGCGUGGGGAGCAAACAGGAUUAGAUACCCUUGUAGUC